UACGUAGGGGGCUAGCGUUGUCCGGAUUUAUUGGGCGUAAAGAGCGUGUAGGCGGCCAGGUAGGUCUGGUGUGAAAACUCGAGGCUUAACCUCGAGAUGUCAUCGGAAACCAUCUGGCUAGAGUCCGGAAGAGGAGAGUGGAAUUCCUGGUGUAGCGGUGAAAUGCGCAGAUAUCAGGAAGAACACCCGUGGCGAAGGCGGCCCUCUGGGACGGUACUGACGCUGAGACGCGAAAGCGUGGGGAGCGAACAGG
RNAcentral lists this ribosomal RNA (253 nucleotides) under uncultured bacterium. RNAcentral's name for it is "partial 16S ribosomal RNA". It matches the Rfam family "Bacterial small subunit ribosomal RNA", at positions 524 to 776 of the family's 1533-position model. The record is from RNAcentral.